This 449-nucleotide ribosomal RNA is filed under the name uncultured bacterium. RNAcentral describes it as "partial 16S ribosomal RNA". It matches the Rfam family "Bacterial small subunit ribosomal RNA", at positions 29 to 523 of the family's 1533-position model. The record is from RNAcentral.
AACGAACGCUGGCGGCAGGCUUAACACAUGCAAGUCGAACGCAUCCUUCGGGGUGAGUGGCAGACGGGUGAGUAACGCGUGGGAACGUGCCCUUCAGUUCGGGAUAACCCAGGGAAACUUGAGCCAAUACCGGAUAUGUGCGAGAGCAGAAAGAUUUAUCGCUGAAGGAUCGGCCCGCGUCUGAUUAGCUAGUUGGUGGGGUAAUGGCCCACCAAGGCGACGAUCAGAAGCUGGUCUGAGAGGAUGAUCAGCCACAUUGGGACUGAGACACGGCCCAAACUCCUACGGGAGGCAGCAGUGGGGAAUAUUGGACAAUGGGCGCAAGCCUGAUCCAGCCAUGCCGCGUGAGUGAUGAAGGCCUUAGGGUUGUAAAGCUCUUUCGUCCGGGACGAUAAUGACGGUACCGGAAGAAGGAGCCCCGGCUAACUUCGUGCCAGCAGCCGCCGUAA